CGAUCUGCUUUCAGAAACAUGGGAUGAAGUAUAAAAAGGAUCAGAUUUUAAAAGCUGGAAAUGUCAGACGUUUUCUGUUUUAGGAAGAGACAAAAAAAAGUUUAAUUAUUGACUUUAUCUUUGUUCUCCAUAAGUGACAGAUCACGAUCUGCUUUUAGAAACAUAGGAUGAAGUAUAAAAAGGAUCAGAUUUUAAAAGCUGGAAAUGUCAGACGUUUUCUGUUUUGGGAAGAGACAAAAAAAAAGUUUAAUU
RNAcentral lists this unclassified non-coding RNA (252 nucleotides) under Bombus terrestris (buff-tailed bumblebee). RNAcentral's name for it is "misc RNA ENSBTSG00005028842.1". Lineage: Eukaryota; Metazoa; Arthropoda; Insecta; Hymenoptera; Apidae. The record is from RNAcentral.